Long non-coding RNA from Otolemur garnettii (small-eared galago), 665 nucleotides. RefSeq lists it as uncharacterized. NCBI's taxonomy places the organism in Eukaryota, Metazoa, Chordata, Mammalia, Primates, Galagidae. The transcript is spliced from 3 exons. The record is from RefSeq and is a predicted model, not a curated record.
AGAAACUGUUUCUUCAUGAAAUUUUAGCCCAGUCGCUGUAAGGCUUACAAAUUAGACAUGUGGAACGUGAGGAAACCGGAAGCUCGUGAGAAGCAGUGAGAGGCGUGUUCUUUGUGCAAAUGCUUCCUCCCUUGAUACACACUUGUGUUGGGGGCACAGGAUGAAUGAGAUACAGCCCCUCAAGGGACCCACCAUCUCAACGUGACUUGUGAGGGCAGAGAUAAAGAAGGUGCAAAGGAAGAGGGCCAUUUGUUGGAAACUUCCCAGGCUUCCAUCCCAGCAGUUCCUGAAGCAUAUGUAGGAUUUUGGGGGAACAGUAGGACAUGGGGAGAGAACUUUGCAGACGUGGGAUGAAGAAAGCGAAAAGUCUUCCUGAACCUUGAGCAACCUAGACGUGUCAGGUGCUAGGAUUACAAGUGUAAACCAUUCUGCCGGACAUUUGAUGAACAUUUUGAAAAGCAGUUGCAAACCUCAUGAAAUCUACCCCUAACUUCUUCAGCAAGUAUCUCCUAGGAACUAGGACAUUGUCUUACCUGUUCCCAUCCAUCCUUAAAAGAAUGCUUGCAUCUCUCAGCUUGCAGGGUGCGUUGUAGGAGGCCUGCUGUCUGUAAGGAAAAUGGUUCUGUCCUCAGGAAGCUUAUAGUCCUGUGGAAAAUGCUGGCGAG